AAUAUUUCUCAGCCUAAUUAGAAGCGUAUUAUAUAGGUUUUGUUGAGCUGAAGCAUCAUUGGCAUUAAAAAAUACCCUUAACCCGAGACUCACUUCACUCUUCCCAAGAGGUCAAAAAAAGUGAAAUUUUUAUACCAAUAUUACUAAUGCACUUUGAAUAUAAGUAAAAAAAUUAUCCUCGGGUGAAAAUGAAACUAAAUAUAACUUAACUAUAAAGAAAUGGACGAUGCACAAUAGGAAUGGACUAGUUUCGUCA
This is a non-coding RNA of Biomphalaria pfeifferi, 256 nucleotides long. The record is from the annotation of a GenBank genome assembly. Lineage: Eukaryota; Metazoa; Mollusca; Gastropoda; Planorbidae.